AACGAACGCUGGCGGCAUGCCUAACACAUGCAAGUCGAACGAGACCUUCGGGUCUAGUGGCGCACGGGUGCGUAACGCGUGGGAAUCUGCCCUUGGGUUCGGAAUAACAGUUAGAAAUGACUGCUAAUACCGGAUAAUGUCUUCGGACCAAAGAUUUAUCGCCCAGGGAUGAGCCCGCGUAGGAUUAGCUAGUUGGUGAGGUAAAGGCUCACCAAGGCGACGAUCCUUAGCUGGUCUGAGAGGAUGAUCAGCCACACUGGGACUGAGACACGGCCCAGACUCCUACGGGAGGCAGCAGUGGGGAUAUUGGACAAUGGCGAAGCCUGAUCAGCAAUGCCGCGUGAGUGAUG
Molecule: ribosomal RNA, 350 nt
Filed under: uncultured bacterium
Lineage: Bacteria
Description: bacterial SSU rRNA
Rfam family: Bacterial small subunit ribosomal RNA
Source: RNAcentral